AUGGCGACCCGCAGCCCCAGCGUCGUGAUCAGUGAUGAUGAACCAGGUUAUGACCUAGAUGUAUUUAUUCUGUAUACCUCAUCAUUAUGCUGAAGAUUUGGAAAAGGUGUUUAUUCCUCAUGGACUGAUAAUGGACAGGACCGAGGGGCUUGCUCAAGAUGUGAUGAAGGAGAUGGGAGGCCAUCACAGCAUAGCCCUCUGUGUGCUCAAGGGAGGCUAUAAAUUCUUUGCUGAUCUGCUGGAUUAUAUCAACGCACUGAACAGAAAUAGUGAUGGAUCCAUUCCCAUGACUGUAGAUUCCAUCAGACUGAAGAACUACAGAAUGGACCAGUCAACAGGGGACAUCCAAUGUAAUUGGUGGAGAUGAUCUCUCAACUUUGACUGGAAAGAAUGUCUUGAUUGUUGAGGAUAUAAUUGACAUUGGCAAAACAAUGCAAACCUUGCUUUCCUUGGUCAAGGAGCAUAAUCCAAAGAUGGUCAAGGUCGAAAGCUUGCUGGUGAAGAGGACCCUUCGAAGUGUUGGCUAUAAACCAGACUUUGUUGGAUUUGAAAUUCCAGACAAGUUUGUUGUAGGAUUUGCCCUUGACUAUAAUGAAUACUUCAGGGAUUUGAAUCAUGUUUAUGUCAUUAGUGAAACUGCAAAAGCAAAAUACAAAGCCUAAGAUGAGAAUUCAAGUUGAGUUUGGAAGCAUCUGGA
RNA transcript from Neomonachus schauinslandi (Hawaiian monk seal), 697 nucleotides. It is a transcript of the gene named hypoxanthine-guanine phosphoribosyltransferase-like, with no coding region annotated. The transcript has a single exon. The record is from RefSeq and is a predicted model, not a curated record. Lineage: Eukaryota; Metazoa; Chordata; Mammalia; Carnivora; Phocidae.